GCUGAAUCAGUCAGAGCUGGAUCUGUCUGGAUGGGAGUUUCCUGGCUAGACCACACAAGCUAAACUCACGACUGAAUUUACAGCCUCUGACUGGCACAAGAAUUAACGUGGGAAGAACACGCGGAACUCUGUGUGAGAACCCAUCUGUUUCCCCGCUGAACAAUUCCUACAUCCUGCAGUUAGCCCCUCCCCCUGAUGCAUGUCUCCACACUGUGGCGUAGGCAUCUGCCCUCAACAUCUGUCACCACCCGUCACUGUGAUGUCAUCCACCCAGACCAGCUUAACGCCCAGCCCCCUCUGUACAGAUACAGAGAGCGAGCCACAGACGCCGACUAGUCACAGUAUGACAAUAACACCCAAUGACUGGACCAAAAGAUUUUCCUUUAAGGGACAGAGAUGUACUUUGAAGACAAGACAGUAAAAGU
Molecule: long non-coding RNA, 425 nt
Organism: Cyprinus carpio carpio
Lineage: Eukaryota; Metazoa; Chordata; Actinopteri; Cypriniformes; Cyprinidae
Source: Ensembl